UCCAUCAUCAAAUACCUAACACCCAGAGAUAUCUAUUAUUGUGGCAGUUGAGAUGCUUACACACAGCGUUGGUCCCUGAACUUCAUAUAAUAUUUCAGUUAAAUUGCCAGUUAAUUACCAAUUCAUUUUUCGGGCGUAGCUUUCCCAAAAUGCAUUGCGUGUAUAUAUGGUUAGCAGUAUUGUCGGACUAAGAAAUCAAAAGUGAAUCGGUCUCAGCUCGCAAAGAAACUAAUGAGCCAGCCAAAACCGAUAAUGGCUUAUCAGAGAUCGAAUAGAGGCGAGCAGGAGUGGAGGGUCGGGAGUAUCGAUAGAAACCAGAUGGAUAUGUUGAUCCAAAUCCGGGGCUCUCCUGGUCAGCUCCGCGAAUUGUUUCAAGGUUCACCAGGGGGUCAUUAUGGAACAACAAGAUCAAUUAGAGGAAACGAUCGUUCAAUCUGUGAACCUGACUAUUCCAGUAACUCAGCUAUGGGUUGUAGGGAAGAAAGAAGGACUGAAGGAGAAGAAGAAGAGGUUCUUGCCUUAUUGGUUCUAUUCACUGGAUUGUGUAGUGAUAUAUGAGUUUCCGGGGUGCAAUUGAGAGAACUAGAAAUCGAAUCAAGGGAUGCAAAGAUCAGAAAAGCACACCAAAAGCAGUGUUGUGGUGGCUGUUGCAUAAUCUUCUCUCCGUUGUUAAAGCUAGUGCUAUGCUUAUCCGGGGUGUUAAGUUGCUGCUUUUAGCUCUUCAAGAGAGUCAAAUAAGGGAGCUAUACAUACAUAAGAACUUAUAUAUAGCUCUUCAAAACAUGUUUAAGAGCCAGAAACUUGGAAAAAUAAAAAUAAAAACAAAAAAAGAUGCUACUUUCCAGAAAAUGUGCGAGUAGCUAGGACUGAAGUGCGGUGCUUUCUUGGUCCAAUUAAAUGUAAAACUCUUUUAUCUAUAUUCUA
Rosa chinensis is the source of this 924-nucleotide RNA transcript. RefSeq lists it as uncharacterized. The transcript is spliced from 5 exons. The record is from RefSeq and is a predicted model, not a curated record. NCBI's taxonomy places the organism in Eukaryota, Viridiplantae, Streptophyta, Magnoliopsida, Rosales, Rosaceae.